RNAcentral lists this ribosomal RNA (444 nucleotides) under Bubalus bubalis (water buffalo). RNAcentral's name for it is "partial 12S ribosomal RNA". It matches the Rfam family "Bacterial small subunit ribosomal RNA", at positions 766 to 1405 of the family's 1533-position model. Lineage: Eukaryota; Metazoa; Chordata; Mammalia; Artiodactyla; Bovidae. The record is from RNAcentral.
CUCAAACUGGGAUUAGAUACCCCACUAUGCUUAGCCCUAAACACAAAUAAUUAUAUUAACAAAAUUAUUCGCCAGAGUACUACCGGCAACAGCCUAAAACUCAAAGGACUUGGCGGUGCUUUAUAUCCCUCUAGAGGAGCCUGUUCUAUAAUCGAUAAACCCCGAUAGACCUCACCAAUUCUUGCUAAUGCAGUCUAUAUACCGCCAUCUUCAGCGAACCCUAAAAAGGUACAAAAGUAAGCGCAAUCACAACGCAUAAAAACGUUAGGUCAAGGUGUAACCUAUGAAAUGGGAAGAAAUGGGCUACAUUUUCUACACCAAGAACACCCAACACGAAAGUUAUUAUGAAAAUUAAUAACCAAAGGAGGAUUUAGCAGUAAACUAAGAAUAGAGUGCUUAGUUGAACUAGGCCAUGAAGCACGCACACACCGCCCGUCACCCUCA